GAAAACUUCUCGGUAGCUUAUUUUCGGAGCCCAUGUCGUUGGUACCCGGAAGCACCAUAAGAGACGCUUCCCGAGAUGCCAUUUCCCGUAUCGCCCCCCUCCCCUGCCUCUUCUCCCGAGCGACGGUGCCAUGACCAUGCAGCUCCCCUGCCCCUAUAGACCCAAGCCUCCACGCCAGGAUGGGACCGCCGGCGAGCAUCCUCCGGUGAAUAUACAUCACCGGAGCAUCUCCCCCGCUGGAGGAUACCCCCCCUGCACCACCCUCGUCCUGCUCCGCCUGCACAAAUUCACUUCGAUCUGCUCUGCCCUGGCCCAAGGCAUCUUCGCCCUGCACAGAUUCACUUCGAUCUGCUCUGCCCUGCACCAAUUCACUUCGAUCUGCUCUGUCCUGCCCCAAGGCAUCUUCGAUCUGCUCCGCCCCUUCUUCUCCCGUGUACUGCUGCUAGCUCCAGAUUUAUGCACUAGCCAGUUUGUUGGGAAUUUCAUGUGUAUGUACAACUCCAGAUUUUUUAUGCGUCCGCUCUAAUGCUCUGAGCUUCUGAUGCAUCGUGCUGAUGCAAUGUGCACAACUGAUUUUUGCUUUGUGCAUUUUUGGGGAAUGUCUAGCUGUUAAACUUGUCAUUAUGUAAUGCUAGACUUUAAAAAUAUAUAAUACUCCCUCUGUCCAACAAAGAAUGUCUCAAGUUUGAUAAAAUUUAAAUGUAUCCA
Long non-coding RNA from Brachypodium distachyon (stiff brome), 708 nucleotides. RefSeq lists it as uncharacterized. The record is from RefSeq and is a predicted model, not a curated record. The transcript has 2 exons. Lineage: Eukaryota; Viridiplantae; Streptophyta; Magnoliopsida; Poales; Poaceae.